UCAGAUUGAACGCUGGCGGCAUGCCUUACACAUGCAAGUCGAACGGCAGCACGGGAGCUUGCUCCUGGUGGCGAGUGGCGAACGGGUGAGUAAUACAUCGGAACGUACCCUGAAUGGGGAUAACGUAGCGAAAGUUACGCUAAUACCGCAUAUUCUGUGAGCAGGAAAGAGGGGGAUCGCAAGACCUCUUGCUUUAGGAGCGGCCGAUGUCGGAUUAGCUAGUUGGUGAGGUAAAAGGCUCACCAAGGCGACGAUCCGUAGCGGGUCUGAGAGGAUGAUCCGCCACACUGGGACUGAGACACGGCCCAGACUCCUACGGGAGGCAGCAGUGGGGAAUUUUGGACAAUGGGCGCAAGCCUGAUCCAGCCAUGCCGCGUGAGUGAAGAAGGCCUUCGGGUUGUAAAGCUCUUUCGGUGGGGAAGAAAUUGCUUCGGUUAAUACCUGGAGUAGAUGACGGUACCCGCAUAAGAAGCACCGGCUAACUACGUG
RNAcentral lists this ribosomal RNA (489 nucleotides) under uncultured bacterium. Its description in RNAcentral is "bacterial SSU rRNA". It matches the Rfam family "Bacterial small subunit ribosomal RNA", at positions 24 to 507 of the family's 1533-position model. The record is from RNAcentral.